UAGUUAAAUUAUAAUCAACUAAUUAAAUUGUCAAGGCAAAUUUAUUGUUUUUUUUUCAAAACAAAGGGACAAAUUUGAAAGGUGUCAAAGUUCAUGGUGCCAGAAGGGUUGCAGAAUUUAUCCAACUUAACCACAACAAAGUCUCUUUUAGAAAUGAAAUAAAGCUUUAUAUUAAACGGUCUGAGUACAAACAGCAUUAUAUUUUAUUUGGACGAGUUAGACUAUAUUGACUGACUCUUAUAUAAACCCUUCCAUAUUAUCAGCUCCACAGUUCUCGUUACCACAAUUAUUUGUAUCAUGAUGAUGUUCACUGCUUUUAUUUUGUUGCUGAAAGCGAAUAUAGUUUCGGGUUCGUUCCGGGGGAAGAAUCAUGUUAAUGAUAUUCCUGCAAUGUUUCGCUCAACCUACGACAAAUACCACGGACAAUACGGAAUCCAGGCAUUGACAAAGAGAGCGUGCAAGGGUGAAAUGAGAGAAAGAAUGGCUAACUUCAGAAAACAAGUUGAGAUUGUGAACGACGUGAACGAUGACAAGUCACUGCCAUAUACCGCGGGUCUGAACUUCAUGUCAGUCAUGACAAAUGAGGAGAUUGCGAACAUGCUCACUUUGAACAGAGUCAACAUUUCUAGAUGGGAGGCCGAACCAGAUACAGAAAAAAGAAGAGUACGCAGAGAAAAAGAGGGAAUAUUCAAACAGCCGUCAAGUGUGAACUGGGUUACAAGAGGUGCAUUGCCCCCCAUCAAGAACCAGGAACAAUGCGGAAGCUGCUGGGUAUUCUCUGCAACCACGGCUCUAGAAGGAAACUACUUCAUAGAAACUGGGGAUCAGGUUUCUUUCAGCGACCAGGAGAGUUUGGACUGUGCACAAGAAUUAAUAGAUGGUGGUGAUGGAUGUCAAGGUGGCCAUAUGGUGUGGCCGUACGAUUAUGUAAAAGCUGUCGAUCGGUUAGCACUAGAAAAGGAUUUCAAUUAUGUCGCCAAGGAUAGACCCUGUAACAUGAAAGGUGUUCCAAAUGGAUUGAAAAAAGCACGUGUAACAGGUUGGAGACAGCUGCCUCAGUCUGAUAGCAGCUUGUUAGAAGCCGCAGCCGAUCACGUGAUUUCAGUUGGCAUUCAAACGACGAACACGCCAUUUUCCCUGUACAGAUCUGGGAUAUAUGUUUGUCUACCAGAUAAGGGUUGCAACUGCCAAUUAUGGGGAGACCAUGCUGUGGAUCUGGUUGGGUACGGGAAGGGGUACUGGAACGUGAGGAACUCUUGGGGGGCUCGUUGGGGCGACAAGGGCUACAUUAAGAUGUCCCGAGAUCAGGACAACAUUUGCUUGAUAAAUACUGUUGCCACUAUCCCGACUUUUCAAUGCAGGAAAGAUCAGCAGUGCGAUAAGUGGGAUGGCGAUGACGAAGAUGAGGAGGAAGAUGAAGAAGAAGAAGACGAUUAUGAUGUAGGAGAUGAAGUUAAAUGCGGGUCCAUAAAACAUUUUGGAGGCAGAUGCGUAGACUUAGAUGACUCAGAGAGCAAGGGAGCAAUACUGACAGAUAUUGGAUGUGACCGUCAGUUCUGCCUCACAGACAAGGGUUACGUACAAGAUAAAGUCACGGACUUGUGCCUUACAACCUCGAAUCCCAACCGGAGUAACAAUUUGAUAACCUUCGGAGCUUGUAACAGUGCACUAAAAUGGUCUGAAACUAGUGAUGGUUUCCAGAUCCAGGGUGGUUCAAGGUGUUGGCACCCUAAAGGAGGUCGUCCAAACCCUCACAAUGAAUGCAAAAUCGUUAUCUAUUCUGGAUGUACUGGAGAUCGCUUAAGUUUUAAGAUAACUGAAAACCUUUGUUGGGAGGAAAUAAGUGGCAAGAAACUCGGCAAAAAACUCAAAGGUGAUGAUAAAACGCAACUCAUCGAGAAGGAAUUUGAUGAUGCCAAGGAUCUAUGCUUAGAGACGCCAGGAUGUAAAGGACUCUACUACAACAAGAAUAAGGGCUACCAGCUGUGUGGAUCUAACAAGCCCAAAGAUGGUAAAAAUAAAGAAAAGAUCUUUGUCAUAAGGGACUGCUCAAAAGCUUGUGAAGCAGGAGAACAGAGGUGUGAUGAUGGAGAGUGCAGAGAGAGGUGUGAUGACGAUGACGAUGACUGUCCUCCUGGGACCACUCGGUGUCCUGAUGGAGUUUGUAAACAUAUCCACAUGUGCGAACACUAGACAGCUACAUAAUUACACAAUACACAAGGGCUGCCGCCUUGAAGAUAUCACCGUAGAUAAAGUAGAAAAAAGACGAAAUAUCACUCAACAAACCAAACCGGGUUGAGUGAAUAAGGGAUGGGAUUCUUAAAACUGUGCAGGGAUUAUUUAGUUGCAAAAAAUUCAAAGUGGCUAUCAAUUUAACACAUUUCACUUUGAGUAGUUUUAAAGGCCAUGAGAGCUGAAGGUGGUAACAUAACAAUGGUAUUGGUGGUACAGACUACAGAGGUCGUUGCAAAUGUUUAGUAAACCUAUACAAUAUACAUCUGCCAGGAUAUAGUCCUAUAAACCACUGUGAAAUAUAGUUCUGACAAGCUCCUGCUCCGGGGAAUUACUUUUGUCAAGUGAUUCGUCACGUGUUCUCACUGUAAUUGAAUUACAGUAUGGUUAGUCUGUUCCCGGUGGCACUUCUUUGAGGAUGAUCAGUUACGAUAGUAGGGCGAUGGCGUUGCUGUAGUGUGACAACGUGUUCGAUACUAUUUUUUAGGUUCGCGAUUGAUUUCUUGUACUUUAAAUUUAACACCGUUUAGAAAUUUACAACCCGGUUCACAUCAAUCUGAAUUUCUUCACAAUUUACAAGUAAAACAA
Molecule: RNA transcript, 2820 nt
Organism: Bolinopsis microptera
Lineage: Eukaryota; Metazoa; Ctenophora; Tentaculata; Lobata; Bolinopsidae
Gene name: cysteine proteinase 2-like
Exons: 3
Source: RefSeq, a predicted model, not a curated record